UUACCCAAUCCCGAUUCGGGGAGGUAGUGACAAUAAAUAACAAUACAGGGCCAACGGCCUUGUUAUUGGAAUGAGAACAAUUUAAAUAACUUAACGAGGAUCAAUUAGAGGGCAAGUCUGGUGCCAGCAGCCGCGGUAAUUCCAGCUCUAAUAGCGUAUAUUAAAGUUGUUGCAGUUAAAAAGCUCGUAGUCGGAUGUCGGGCUCGGGCAAGCUGUCGGCCUUUGGUCGGACGGCAGGCUCGGGUCUUUCUGCCUGAGGAACCCGGUUGCUUUAACGAGCUGCCGGUGGACGCAGGUCGUUUACUUUGAAAAAAUUAGAGUGUUCAAAGCAGGCUAGCGCUUGAAUACAUUAGCAUGGAAUAAUGGAAUAGGACUUUGGUGCUAUUUUGUUGGUUUAUGGGACCGAAGUAAUGAUUAACAGGGACAGUUGGGGCCGUUUAUAUUUCGUUGUCAGAGGUGAAAUUCUUGGAUUUACGAAAGAUAAACUUCUGCGAAAGCAUUCGGCAAGGAUGUUUUCAUUGAUCAAGAACGAAAGUUAGGGGAUCGAAGACGAUCAGAUACCGUCGUAGUCUUAACCAUAAACUAUGCCGACUAGGGAUCAGUGGAUGUCAAUUUGCGACUCCAUUGGCACCUUGUGAGAAAUCAAAGUUUUUGGGUUCCGGGGGGAGUAUGGUCGCAAGGCUGAAACUUAAAGGAAUUGACGGAAGGGCACCACCAGGAGUGGAGCCUGCGGCUUAAUUUGACUCAACACGGGGAAACUUACCAGGUCCAGACAUAGUAAGGAUUGACAGAUUGAAAGCUCUUUCUUGAUUCUAUGGGUGGU
RNAcentral lists this ribosomal RNA (823 nucleotides) under uncultured marine Geminigeraceae. RNAcentral describes it as "SSU rRNA". It matches the Rfam family "Eukaryotic small subunit ribosomal RNA", at positions 441 to 1278 of the family's 1831-position model. Lineage: Eukaryota; Cryptophyceae; Pyrenomonadales; Geminigeraceae. The record is from RNAcentral.